This is a non-coding RNA of Salmo salar (Atlantic salmon), 72 nucleotides long. Lineage: Eukaryota; Metazoa; Chordata; Actinopteri; Salmoniformes; Salmonidae. The record is from Rfam.
GCCGUGAUCGUAUAGUGGUUAGUACUCUGCGUUGUGGCCGCAGGAACCCCGGUUCGAAUCCGGGUCACGGCA